AGGACACUGCCUUCCAGCCUCUGCAGAGAGCUCACUUCUGUUAGGCUCACUCUGUACCAUUCUCUUUCUUCAGCAAUCAACAUUUUUAUUUAGAAAGCUGCGUGUCUGGAAGGCCCGGAGUCCAGGUUGGAGGCUGCUAGAGGCCACAGAGGAGACACACUGGUGCGAAAACCCAGAAGACAAUAUUUCAGGACCCUGGCUUGAGACCUGAAUCAUUCCCCGGAAGCCGAAGGAGCGCCUGCCUUCAGAGCCUUUUAAUUGCAGGACUAAAGACUGAAUGGCGGCCUUGUUCAGCACCAAAGCCACGUAGGGUCCAGCCAGGAAUUGGUGAACCAAGCAGAAAAUUCCAGGGCACGGGCCAUUCCGGGCACCGGUUUGGAAGCCUCCACUCCCACAGCCUGACCUAGUGAGCCGGGCCGCAGGCUGCCAUGUUUGUGGUCCCAGCCCUGGUGCGGCUGAGCUCCAACAGCUGGGCCCUGCGGGGGGGACGGCGGGGAGAGGGCGAGAGGGACCCCAGCACAGGCCAGGACGAGGCCCCUGGCUGUGACGGUGGGCCGUGGCCUGGCCCCUGCAUCUCCAACAGAGCUCUCCUUGCCAAACUUCAAGCCUCCUCCCUGGAAAGCAUCCUGGUCUCUGAGAUGACAGGCCACAGCUUAGAGGGUUUCUUGUACACAGUCUGUGCUUCCUGAUGUUUAUUGAGGGAAAUUUGAAUACAACUGUGUGGCCUGGUGUGAAGGUCUUUGCUCUGCCCUUUACUGGCUGUGUGACCUUGGGCAAGUCACGAAACAUCUCUGACACCCCAGUGCUUGGACCUAUUCAAAUGGGAAGAAUGGACCAUCUCUCAUUGGGUUGUCACCAGAUGAAGAGAGAUAGUAAAUGCUGAGGGCUUUGAAUAAAUGCCCGAGUUAUUAGUCUUAUGGAAC
Molecule: long non-coding RNA, 923 nt
Filed under: Vulpes vulpes (red fox)
Lineage: Eukaryota; Metazoa; Chordata; Mammalia; Carnivora; Canidae
Description: lncRNA (ENSVVUG00000023692.1)
Source: RNAcentral